This 477-nucleotide ribosomal RNA is filed under the name uncultured bacterium. Its description in RNAcentral is "bacterial SSU rRNA". It matches the Rfam family "Bacterial small subunit ribosomal RNA", at positions 32 to 521 of the family's 1533-position model. The record is from RNAcentral.
AAUCAACGCUGGCGGCGUGCCUAACACAUGCAAGUCGAACGGGAAAGUGGAGCAAUCCAUGAGUAUAGUGGCGACCGGGUGAGUAACACGUGACUAACCUACCUUCAAGUGGGGGAUAACCUCGGGAAACCGGGGCUAAUACCGCAUAACAUCUCUGUUAUGAGAAAGCAGAGAUCAAAGGAGUAAUUCGCUGGAAGAGGGGGUCGCGGCUGAUUAGCUAGUUGGUGGGGUAACGGCCCACCAAGGCUUUGAUCGGUAGCCGGCCUGAGAGGGCGCACGGCCACACUGGAACUGAAACACGGUCCAGACUCCUACGGGAGGCAGCAGUGGGGAAUUUUGCGCAAUGGGGGAAACCCGUGACGCAGCAACGCCGCGUGGAGGAUGAAGUCCCUUGGGACGUAAACUCCUUUCGACCGGGAAGAUUAUGACGGUACCGGUGGAAGAAGCCCCGGCUAACUUCGUGCCAGCAGCCGCCGU